CGGCAACAGCUCAGAUUUGAAAUCUGGCCUUCGGGUCCGAGUUGUAAUCUGUAGAGGAUGCUUCGGGUGCGGUACCUUCCGAGUUCCCUGGAACGGGACGCCUUAGAGGGUGAGAGCCCCGUACGGUUGGACGCCUAGCCUCUGUAAAGCUCCUUCGAC
Molecule: ribosomal RNA, 159 nt
Filed under: Pseudophloeospora sp.
Lineage: Eukaryota; Fungi; Ascomycota
Description: partial large subunit ribosomal RNA
Rfam family: Eukaryotic large subunit ribosomal RNA
Source: RNAcentral